Molecule: ribosomal RNA, 433 nt
Filed under: uncultured bacterium
Lineage: Bacteria
Description: partial 16S ribosomal RNA
Rfam family: Bacterial small subunit ribosomal RNA
Source: RNAcentral
AACGAACGCUGGCGGCAUGCCUAACACAUGCAAGUCGAACGAGACCUUCGGGUAUAGUGGCGCACGGGUGCGUAACGCGUGGGAACCUGCCCUUAGGUUCGGAAUAACUCCCCGAAAGGGGUGCUAAUACCGGAUAAUGUCUUCGGACCAAAGAUUUAUCGCCUUUGGAUGGGCCCGCGUUGGAUUAGCUAGUUGGUAGGGUAAAAGCCUACCAAGGCGACGAUCCAUAGCUGGUCUGAGAGGAUGAUCAGCCACACUGGGACUGAGACACGGCCCAGACUCCUACGCGAGGCAGCAGUGGGGAAUAUUGGACAAUGGGCGAAAGCCUGAUCCAGCAAUGCCGCGUGAGUGAUGAAGGCCUUAGGGUUGUAAAGCUCUUUUACCCGGGAUGAUAAUGACAGUACCGGGAGAAUAAGCUCCGGCUAACUCCGUG